GCCUUAUACAGGAAUUAAGUGUUAAAAACACAUGCUUCAUCAUUGCCUACCCUGAGUCUUUAGUUCUUUGGGACCCACUGAUCAAGUUCAACCUCCAUGUUUGAUAGAGGAGGAAACGGAGCUCCUGAGAAGGGAGGCACCCAUUCUGGGUGACAAAGCAAGUCACUGGCCAAAGUGAGUCUGCAGCUUGAAGCUUAGCUCCGGGACCCCUCGCUGCUUCCGGCUUCCUUGUUUUUCAGGAACCAUGGAGCUGAAGGCUGCGCUAGUGCAGGAAGGGUCCUGGCUCUCUGGGGUGGUGGGUGGGGCUCAAGGAAGCUGAAGAGGCUCACCUGGUGGGGCUCAGUUGAUGGUUGAAGUGUGGAGUGGGUGUUGCUGAUACCCUCACCACGGGAGCUGUCCUUAACCCUAGGCUCUUCAAUUCCCCUGCUGAAGAGCUGUCUGCUUCCAUCGGCAAGUCCUUUGCUCACAGCAGCUUCAUUUUAUUUAUUUCUUAAGAGAAGAAACUUCUCCUUUUCAAGGCAAAUUCUUUGCCCACUUAUACACUUGAGGAAAUCAGAGGAACAAGAGUUACCUACUUCAUAGGGCAGCUGCUGGCUUCAGAGAGGGAAGUGCUUAAAGUAGCUGGUGUGGCUCUGGGCAUGAGGUCACCUGCCACUGUUCCUGUGUCUUCUUAUCUCCUGCCUGUAGUCAUUAGCCCUGCUGUCUCCCUCGGCGUGUCCAGGACAGAAGCGGUUUAAUGCCACGAUGUGCAGGGCCUGUGUGCAGGCUCCAAGAUUUCUCAGGAGGAAGGAGGCCGAAGGAAAAGUGUUGGUGGCUCCCUGGGAACCCAGGCACUUCCAUCAGAGGAAUCUGAGUCCAGCUCAACUGAACUCUCAGAUGCCUUUUCUUUGGAUACAACACAAGACAGUGAACAGGAAACUGGUGAUUUUCUAAAAUGGCAGAGUAGAAGCACAUGUGCUCAUCUUUCUGUUCAGGGAGAGACACAACUGAAGUCCAUUGCUGAUUAAAUUUGUGUCUGAUUAAUAAAUAACAACUAUUCGGAUCAAAACAAAACAAAACUGGACUUCCCUGAUGGUCCAAUGGUUAAGAAUCCAUCUUGCAGGGGACACAAGUGUGCUCCCUGGUCAGGAAAUUAAGGUCCAACAUGCUGAGGAGCAACUAAGUCCAAGCCACAGCUACUGAGCCCACAUG
Bos taurus (domestic cattle) is the source of this 1191-nucleotide long non-coding RNA. The record is from Ensembl. Lineage: Eukaryota; Metazoa; Chordata; Mammalia; Artiodactyla; Bovidae.